Molecule: ribosomal RNA, 2180 nt
Filed under: Lepocinclis tripteris
Lineage: Eukaryota; Euglenozoa; Euglenophyceae; Euglenales; Phacaceae
Description: SSU rRNA
Rfam family: Eukaryotic small subunit ribosomal RNA
Source: RNAcentral
AUGCAUGUCUCAGUGUACACUUCCACACAGUGGGUCUGUGAAUGGCUCCUUACAUCAGCAGUCAUCUCCGUGAUAGAGUGUGGAUGGCACCACCCUGCCAGGUGCUCACUUGGACAUCCUCCAAAACCUAGUGGCUAAUACACGUUCGCCCAGGUCUGCCACAUCACGGCCUUGCCAGAUCCAAACCCUGGCUUGACCAGCGGUGGAUUGCACCCAGCCGAUUUGAAGACCAGCGCCUGGAAAUGGCAGCGUGUUUGUGGUUGACUCAGGCUGGUCCCUCUGUGGACACCUGCGCUGGCAGAGUGGUGGCUUCGGCCACAGCAUUGCUUGAUCACACGAACUUCUGAUCUAUCAGCCUUGAUGGUGGUGUAGUGGACCACCAUGGCAGUGACGGAUAACGGAGAAUCAGGGUUCGAUUCCGGAGAGGGAGCCUGAGAGAUGGCUACCACUUCUAAGGAGGGCAGCAGGCACGCAAAUUGCCCAAUGCUGAGACAUUCUCUGGUGAGGCAGCGACGAACUGCAGCAAUUCCGCCUGUCCUUGUGACCGGUGGAACUUGGAAUGGAUGCAAUCCAAACACAGUGAUGAGUAUCAACUGGAGGGCAAGUCUGGUGCCAGCAGCUGCGGUAAUUCCAGCUCCAAGAGCGUAUACUGAUAUUGCUGCUGUUAAAACACUUGUAGUCUGAUGCUGGGUUGCAGGUCUGCUGGGUGGCGGUGGUGGGCUGUCUGCCUCGUUCUGCCCCUCGGGGUGGGGUGGGGUGGGUGGUUUGCUGCCGAUACAACCCCCAGCAGUAUGUUCCUGCACCCAAACUGAGGAUGGUACGAACUGCCCCUGCUCCAAGUCUCCUUCAGUGGGGACCGAUGCGGUUGCAUACCCAACGCCUGUGAUCUUGACGGUUCAGGGGCAGGGCCCCGUGCCCUGCAUCCAUCCCUCGUCAACCACCGGGGUCUACCAUCGUUGACACCCUGGAGAACUCAGUGUGCCCAACGCAUCCACAUCGGCUGGAUGCACGUCCAUGGAAUGUCACAGCAUUGACCAGAUGCGGCUAUGGAGUUGUGCUGGCCUUGGUGCCCAUCCUGGGCAACCUGCCGUCUGCUGGUACCCUCGGUCCGUGGGUGUGGGUCUGUUCUGCCCUCGGGUGGCUCCGGCCCCAUUCACGCCGUGGGAACCCAGUGGCGGCGAUCACUCUCGAGGGGACUGCUCGGGGUGGAAGGUAUUGCAACGCCAGAGGUGAAAUUCUCAGAUCGCUGCAAGACCAACUGCGGCGAAGGCGUUCUGCAAGUGCAUGUUCGUCGAUCAAGAAUGUGAGUGUGGGGAGCGAAGAUGAUCAGACACCGUCGUAGUCCACAACUGUGAACCAUGCCAGCUCGGCGUUGAGGGUGCUACUAUCCAGCACACCCCCAGCGCCAUGCCCCCUAAAACGAGAAAUCUGAAGCCUUCGGGUUCAGGGGGGAGUACUGUCGCAAGGCUGAAACUUAAAGGAAUUGACGGAAUGGCACCACAAGGCGUGGAGUAUGCGGCUUAAUUUGACUCAACACGGGGAAUGUUACCAGGUCAGGACGUUGCUGGGAUGGACAGAUUGAGAGCUCUUUCUUGAUCCUUCGGAUGGUGGUGCAUGGCCGCUCCUGAUUGGUGGAGUGAUUUGUCUGGUUGAUUCCGAUAACGAGUGAGACAUCUGCCUCCCAAUAGCCCCAGCCUCGUACUUGUAGGGUGGCUGUGGGUGCCCUGGGCUGGGUUCGCCUGGUUCCAGGCCCCACGGUUCUGCCUGAGAGGCCCUGGGUUCAGCUUCUCUGAGGUGCUGUGUACGCUACCAAGUGCAUGCAUGCUAGAGCCAACAGCAGGUCUGUGAUGCUCCCAGAUGUCCUGGGCCGCACGCGCACUACAUUGAUCUGGUGAAUGUGUUCUGCACUCCCUUUGUGGAGGCCUGCCUGGAAGUGGGUGGGAAACCCCUGGAGCCCAUUGAUCGUACUGGGGAUAGAUGAUUGCAACUGUCUGCCUUGAACGAGGAAUGCCUAGUAUGCGCAGGUCAUCAGCCUGCACCGAUUGUGUCCCUGCCAUUUGUACACACCGCCCGUCGUUGCUACCGAUGGUGACAGGAUAGAACCAUCAGGAGGGUCGCCAGCCAUGUCCCCAUGGCCGGGUCCAAAAUUGGGUGAUGUCCUGCCACUAGAGGAAGCAAAA